GCUGCAGCUGAACAAUCCCGUCUGACAUGUACAUUUGUUUCCUGCCCAUGCCCGCACAAAAGACAACUUGUAGAGUGUAGUCUCAAGCAGAGAAGAUUGACCAACUGGAAGACCACAAUUUGUACAAUUUGAUUACGGCUCAUGGGGGGUUGUCGUGAAAGGUCUUGGGGAGGGUCAAUGCAAAGGAUAAAAUAUAUAAAUUAAGGGAGGGAGGCAUUCACUUGCUUUUGUAAUUAUUAAUUAUUAUAUGAUUAAUAUUUUAAUAAUUUAAUUAUUAUAUUAUAUGUUUCAUUUAUGUAUACCAAAUUUGAUAUAAAUUUAAAAUUUUUAACUAUUUACUUUACAUUAAUAAAAAUAAUACAACCGUUGAAUAUAUAUUAAUAUAUCAAGUAUUUUAGAUAGAUUGAUAAAAAUAUUAGAUUAAUUUAAAAUUUUACAUGCAUGACAAAUGUAAUUAUAUUGAUAAAUUUAACAGUUAAAUUAUUGAAAUAUAAAUCAUAUAAAUAAUUAUGAUAGUGUGUAAAACUAAUAUAUGACAUAGACAUAAAAUACGAUUAAUAAUUAGAAUGCAAGAUGAAAAUUAAAAUAAACAAGAAUAAAUAAAUGAAUAUGUAUAAAUUAUUAACACUUAAAAUUUUAUUUUAAUUUAUACUAACAAAUUUGUAAUAUUUUUUAUACUAAAUUUGUAAUAUUUUUAAACAUAUAAAAAGUUAACACAAAAUUCUUUAAUGCUUAUCCUUUUAGUUGGAUCAAAAGAAGAUCCAUGCUCUACUCCUUCUAAUUGCAUUGCCAUGCAUAUUUGCUCACAAACACAUCCAAAAUUACAGUUUUGCCUCUGUUUUUUCCUGAGAAAAUGAAGCCUAACAUACAGAGUUGAUAAGGAUACUAUUUCAUUGUCAACAAAACAAAGGUAAAGCCAAUAAAAACUAAAACUCAAGUAGAGCCCAAUACUUUUUGGCCCAUUUGUUUCUGUUAUAGUUUAGGGUUAUUAGUAUUUUUUCCUGGUAAAGCUUCAUUAGUGAUAUAUAUUUUAGUAUCCUUGUCAACUCUGUAUGUUGGGCUUCAUUUUCUCCGGCAUCACCAGCUCUAUUUAAGGACUGAUUUGCAUAAAAUAAUAGAGGUUAUAGUAAAACUGUAAUUUUUUUGAAGAAUAGUGAUAAAACUGUAAAAUUCAAAAAAAACAAUGACAGCUGGCAAAUUCAGAAAAAAACAGUGGCAAAACUGUAAUUUUGAAUUGUUACAGGAAUCCUGUAUUUGUGAGCAAAUAUGCAUGGUAAUGCAAUUAGGAGUAGAGCAUGGAUCUUCUUUUGAUCCAACUAAAAGGAUCAUUUUUGGUUCUUCAUCAAAAGUCAAUAAGUUGGACUCGUUUCUCUGCCUUAAGAAGCCUUAAGUUUUAGUGUGGUCGGGAUUCACUAAUCAUGAAAGGUGAUUUAAGACAUAAAAUGUAGUGGGGAGAUACGCAGAGAGCUAGGAAGCACCGACACGGGAAAAAUCCCCUCUUACCAGUGUCGUAUUGGUGUCCGACACGGACAUGCCGCCGACACGACUGGAUACGUAACGGACAUACCUUAAAGCGUGUCAAAAAAGGACACUCCUGAACUUUACUUUGGCCUGAAUCAAAAACAGAAAAAAAAACCCAUAUACAAGAAUAGAACUUUAGUAAACAGAUAAAAAGAACUUUAACAUUUAAUCGUGAUAAUUUAUGGGAUUUUUAACAUACCUGUCUUCUUUGAAGUCGAUUCGCUUAUAUGAAGAUGAUGAUGCUGGGUUCUUUUUUUGCAGAGAAUGAAAUACAGAGGCAAAGGUAAAGACGGUAAAUGAGAA
RNAcentral lists this long non-coding RNA (1824 nucleotides) under Gossypium barbadense (sea-island cotton). RNAcentral describes it as "long non-coding RNA (GBAR_LNC001859)". Lineage: Eukaryota; Viridiplantae; Streptophyta; Magnoliopsida; Malvales; Malvaceae. The record is from RNAcentral.